CACUAUCGUUAACUGAAUACAUAGGUUAACGAGGCGAACCGGGGGAACUGAAACAUCUAAGUACCCCGAGGAAAAGAAAUCAACCGAGAUUCCCCCAGUAGCGGCGAGCGAACGGGGAGCAGCCCAGAGUCUGAAUCAGCUUGUGUGUUAGUGGAACGGUCUGGAAAGUCCGACGGUACAGGGUGAUAGUCCCGUACACCAAAAUGCACAGGUUGUGAACUCGAAGAGUAGGGCGGGACACGUGGUAUCCUGUCUGAAUAUGGGGGGACCAUCCUCCAAGGCUAAAUACUCCUGACUGACCGAUAGUGAACCAGUACCGUGAGGGAAAGGUGAAAAGAACCCCGGCGAGGGGAGUGAAAAAGAACCUGAAACCGUGUACGUACAAGCAGUGGGAGCACCUUCGGGUGUGACUGCGUACCUUUUGUAUAAUGGGUCAGCGACUUAUAUUCUGUAGCAAGGUUAACCGUAUAGGGGAGCCGCAGGGAAACCGAGUCUUAACUGGGCGUUAAGUUGCAGGGUAUAGACCCGAAACCCGGUGAUCUAGCCAUGGGCAGGUUGAAGGUUGGGUAACACUAACUGGAGGACCGAACCGACUAAUGUUGAAAAAUUAGCGGAUGACUUGUGGCUGGGGGUGAAAGGCCAAUCAAACCGGGAGAUAGCUGGUUCUCCCCGAAAGCUAUUUAGGUAGCGCCUCGUGAACUCAUCUUCGGGGGUAGAGCACUGUUUCGGCUAGGGGGUCAUCCCGACUUACCAACCCGAUGCAAACUACGAAUACCGAAGAAUGUUAUCACGGGAGACACACGGCGGGUGCUAACGUCCGUCGUGAAGAGGGAAACAACCCAGACCGCCAGCUAAGGUCCCAAAGUCAUGGUUAAGUGGGAAACGAUGUGGGAAGGCACAGACAGCCAGGAUGUUGGCUUAGAAGCAGCCAUCAUUUAAAGAAAGCGUAAUAGCUCACUGGUCGAGUCGGCCUGCGCGGAAGAUGUAACGGGGCUAAACCAUGCACCGAAGCUGCGGCAGCGACACUAUGUGUUGUUGGGUAGGGGAGCGUUCUGUAAGCCUGCGAAGGUG
RNAcentral lists this ribosomal RNA (1071 nucleotides) under Klebsiella pneumoniae. Its description in RNAcentral is "partial 23S ribosomal RNA". It matches the Rfam family "Bacterial large subunit ribosomal RNA", at positions 146 to 1258 of the family's 2925-position model. The record is from RNAcentral. Lineage: Bacteria; Pseudomonadati; Pseudomonadota; Gammaproteobacteria; Enterobacterales; Enterobacteriaceae.